This 502-nucleotide ribosomal RNA is filed under the name uncultured bacterium. Its description in RNAcentral is "bacterial SSU rRNA". It matches the Rfam family "Bacterial small subunit ribosomal RNA", at positions 10 to 506 of the family's 1533-position model. The record is from RNAcentral.
UGUUUGAUCCUGGCUCAGAUUGAACGCUGGCGGCAGGCCUAACACAUGCAAGUCGAGCGGAUGAGGGGUGCUUGCACUCUGAUUCAGCGGCGGACGGGUGAGUAAUGCCUAGGAAUCUGCCCGAUAGUGGGGGACAACGUUUCGAAAGGAACGCUAAUACCGCAUACGUCCUACGGGAGAAAGUGGGGGAUCUUCGGACCUCACGCUAUCGGAUGAGCCUAGGUCGGAUUAGCUAGUUGGUGAGAUAAUGGCUCACCCAAGGCGACGAUCCGUAACUGGUCUGAGAGGAUGAUCAGUCACACUGGAACUGAGACACGGUCCAGACUCCUACGGGAGGCAGCAGUGGGGAAUAUUGGACAAUGGGCGAAAGCCUGAUCCAGCCAUGCCGCGUGUGUGAAGAAGGUCUUCGGAUUGUAAAGCACUUUAAGUUGGGAGGAAGGGCUGUCGGCUAAUACCCUGCAGUUUUGACGUUACCAACAGAAUAAGCACCGGCUAACUUCGU